GAAAUGCGAUAAGUAGUGUGAAUUGCAGAAUUCAGUGAAUCAUCGAAUCUUUGAACGCACAUUGCGCCCCUUGGUAUUCCAUGGGGCAUGCCUGUUCGAGCGUCAUUUGUACCCUCAAGCUUUGCUUGGUGUUGGGCGUUUUGUCCUCUUCUGGAGGACAAGACGCCCAACACCAAAACUCAAGGUUGACCUCGGAUCAGGUGGGGAUACCCGCUGAACUUAA
Molecule: unclassified non-coding RNA, 223 nt
Filed under: uncultured Pleosporales
Lineage: Eukaryota; Fungi; Ascomycota; Dothideomycetes; Pleosporales
Description: sequence contains ITS1
Rfam family: 5.8S ribosomal RNA (bases 1-105)
Source: RNAcentral